UUCUGGCACACCCUUAAUGCUUUUGCGCCCUGCGCUUUAGACUUUGCCCCUAGAUCAUUAAAAUCAAACCCAAAGUGAUAUGCUGCAUUAAUGUAACAUGUGAUCUUUGUGUUUCUAAUAUAUUACAUAAUUUUAUUAUUUAUUUACAACACUUACUGUGGGUGUCUUUUUUUACUUGCUUGUCUUUGCUUAUGUUGAAUUGUUGUGUGGUCUGUACUGUACAUUCCUUGCCUUUAAUGGGGCAAAAAACAUAAUCAACUGAACUGAAUAAUCAUUCUACAAUAACUUUGGGUUUUAUAAAGCUUCAGUCUAGAGAUUUCGGUCGGUUAUGAAUACCCCACAUCUACAGUCAAGCAUGUCUGUCUUGUUUUUUGUCACCAGAUCUUUUAGAGAGAUUCCUCCAAAUGUUUGUGAGGGCUAGUAGGCGAAAACCACAAGAUGACCAGACCAGACUGGACCCUCCGAGACAGAAAACGCCCAGUGUCAAAGUUCAGCGAUUCAGAGUAAAGCGAUACGCCGCAGCAAUAGAGAAGCAGAACAGAAAAUGAACACAUGGAAAGGUGCUGAUGUGUUCCCUCACACCACGCCGCAGGUCCAUUUCUCUCAGGCCCCGAGGUGUAAAUAGGAAUGUUCUUGCUGUAUUCUCAGAGUCUCCAUAACCACACAUUGGUCAGCCAUCAUCAUCAUCCUCAGCUGGGACGAGUCUGAACUGGAAGAGAUAAGGUUGGCGGGUCGGUGUCAGUGAGUUCCUGAUUCAUCAGGGGCCGCCACAGCAG
This is a non-coding RNA of Danio rerio (zebrafish), 776 nucleotides long. NCBI's taxonomy places the organism in Eukaryota, Metazoa, Chordata, Actinopteri, Cypriniformes, Danionidae. The record is from RefSeq and is a predicted model, not a curated record.